This 583-nucleotide ribosomal RNA is filed under the name uncultured Erwinia sp. RNAcentral describes it as "bacterial SSU rRNA". It matches the Rfam family "Bacterial small subunit ribosomal RNA", at positions 102 to 681 of the family's 1533-position model. The record is from RNAcentral. Lineage: Bacteria; Pseudomonadati; Pseudomonadota; Gammaproteobacteria; Enterobacterales; Erwiniaceae.
ACGGGUGAGUAAUGUCUGGGAAACUGCCCGAUGGAGGGGGAUAACUACUGGAAACGGUAGCUAAUACCGCAUAACGUCUUCGGACCAAAGUGGGGGACCUUCGGGCCUCACACCAUCGGAUGUGCCCAGAUGGGAUUAGCUGGUAGGUGAGGUAACGGCUCACCUAGGCGACGAUCCCUAGCUGGUCUGAGAGGAUGACCAGCCACACUGGAACUGAGACACGGUCCAGACUCCUACGGGAGGCAGCAGUGGGGAAUAUUGCACAAUGGGCGCAAGCCUGAUGCAGCCAUGCCGCGUGUAUGAAGAAGGCCUUCGGGUUGUAAAGUACUUUCAGCGGGGAGGAAGGCGUUGUGGUUAAUAACCGCGUCGAUUGACGUUACCCGCAGAAGAAGCACCGGCUAACUCCGUGCCAGCAGCCGCGGUAAUACGGAGGGUGCAAGCGUUAAUCGGAAUUACUGGGCGUAAAGCGCACGCAGGCGGUCUGUCAAGUCGGAUGUGAAAUCCCCGGGCUUAUCCUGGGAACUGCAUUCGAAACUGGCAGGCUUGAGUCUCGUAGAGGGGGGUAGAAUUCCAGGUGUAGCGG